GAUGAACGCUGGCGGCGUGCCUAAUACAUGCAAGUCGAGCGAACAGAUGAGGAGCUUGCUCCUCUGACGUUAGCGGCGGACGGGUGAGUAACACGUGGAUAACCUACCUAUAAGACUGGGAUAACUUCGGGAAACCGGAGCUAAUACCGGAUAAUAUAUUGUACCGCAUGGUUCAAUAGUGAAAGACGGUUUUGCUGUCACUUAUAGAUGGAUCCGCGCCGCAUUAGCUAGUUGGUAAGGUAACGGCUUACCAAGGCAACGAUGCGUAGCCGACCUGAGAGGGUGAUCGGCCACACUGGAACUGAGACACGGUCCAGACUCCUACGGGAGGCAGCAGUAGGGAAUCUUCCGCAAUGGGCGAAAGCCUGACGGAGCAACGCCGCGUGAGUGAUGAAGGUCUUCGGAUCGUAAAACUCUGUUAUUAGGGAAGAACAAAUGUGUAAGUAACUAUGCACGUCUUGACGGUACCUAAUCAGAAAGCCACGGCUAACUACGUG
RNAcentral lists this ribosomal RNA (497 nucleotides) under uncultured bacterium. Its description in RNAcentral is "partial 16S ribosomal RNA". It matches the Rfam family "Bacterial small subunit ribosomal RNA", at positions 28 to 507 of the family's 1533-position model. The record is from RNAcentral.